CUUAGCUCAGCGGUUAGAGCAGCGGACUCAUAAUCCGUGGGUCGCAGGUUCAAAUCCCGCAGGGGC
This 66-nucleotide transfer RNA is filed under the name bovine gut metagenome. It matches the Rfam family "tRNA", at positions 6 to 65 of the family's 71-position model. Rfam says of the family: Transfer RNA (tRNA) molecules are approximately 80 nucleotides in length. Their secondary structure includes four short double-helical elements and three loops (D, anti-codon, and T loops). Further hydrogen bonds mediate the characteristic L-shaped molecular structure. tRNAs have two regions of fundamental functional importance: the anti-codon, which is responsible for specific mRNA codon recognition, and the 3' end, to which the tRNAs corresponding amino acid is attached (by aminoacyl-tRNA synthetases). tRNAs cope with the degeneracy of the genetic code in two manners: having more than one tRNA (with a specific anti-codon) for a particular amino acid; and 'wobble' base-pairing, i.e. permitting non-standard base-pairing at the 3rd anti-codon position. The record is from RNAcentral.